AACGCUAGCUACAGGCUUAACACAUGCAAGUCGAGGGGCAGCAUGAAGUUUGCUUGCAAACUUUGAUGGCGACCGGCGCACGGGUGAGUAACACGUAUCCAACCUGCCGAUAACUCGGGGAUAGCCUUUCGAAAGAAAGAUUAAUACCCGAUGGCAUGGGAAGACCGCAUGGUCUUUCCAUUAAAGAAUUUCGGUUAUCGAUGGGGAUGCGUUCCAUUAGAUAGUAGGCGGGGUAACGGCCCACCUAGUCAACGAUGGAUAGGGGUUCUGAGAGGAAGGUCCCCCACAUUGGAACUGAGACACGGUCCAAACUCCUACGGGAGGCAGCAGUGAGGAAUAUUGGUCAAUGGACGAGAGUCCGAACCAGCCAAGUAGCGUGAAGGAUGACUGCCCUAUGGGUUGUAAACUUCUUUUAUACGGGAAUAAAGUAUUCCACGUGUGGAAUUUUGUAUGUACCGUAUGAAUAAGGAUCGGCUAACUCCGUGCCAGCAGCCGCGGUAAUACGGAGGAUCCGAGCGUUAUCCGGAUUUAUUGGGUUUAAAGGGAGCGUAGGUGGAAGAUUAAGUCAGCCUGUGAAAGUUUGCGGCUCAACCGUAAAAUUGCAGUUGAUACUGGUUUUCUUGAGUGCAGUAGAGGUGGGCGGAAUUCGUGGUGUAGCGGUGAAAUGCUUAGAUAUCACGAAGAACUCCGAUUG
This 694-nucleotide ribosomal RNA is filed under the name uncultured bacterium. RNAcentral's name for it is "bacterial SSU rRNA". It matches the Rfam family "Bacterial small subunit ribosomal RNA", at positions 32 to 715 of the family's 1533-position model. The record is from RNAcentral.